GUGCUUGCUUCAGCAGCACAUAUACUAAAAUUGGAACAAUACGGAGAUUAUUAACUUGGCCUCUGAACAAGAAUGACCAAGAAAUAGUUGCUUGAGUUAGUCCUUUUUU
This is a small nuclear RNA of Camelus dromedarius (Arabian camel), 109 nucleotides long. Lineage: Eukaryota; Metazoa; Chordata; Mammalia; Artiodactyla; Camelidae. The record is from Ensembl.